GUUGCUGUAGUAUAAAAAGUAUGAUUGUUUUAAGAUCAAUUGGUUAUUUCGGUAAUU
This 57-nucleotide transfer RNA is filed under the name Aspiculuris sp. PC-2022. RNAcentral describes it as "tRNA-Leu". The record is from RNAcentral. Lineage: Eukaryota; Metazoa; Nematoda; Chromadorea; Rhabditida; Heteroxynematidae.